AUACGGCACGUGGUGUUAUG
RNAcentral lists this microRNA (20 nucleotides) under Singapore grouper iridovirus. RNAcentral describes it as "miRNA-2". Lineage: Varidnaviria; Bamfordvirae; Nucleocytoviricota; Megaviricetes; Pimascovirales; Iridoviridae. The record is from RNAcentral.